GUUAUUUUAAGCUACUAGAUUCUCCUUGAACUCUAAGCCUGGAGGCUUUAGUGAUUCAGGCAGGAGAGGUUAGGUUCCUGACUUCUUUAGCAAGAGAUAGGUUUGAGCAUUAGGCAUUGUUGAGAAGGGAGAUUUUUCUAAAUUUCUUUAGUUGUUUUUUUUUCAUAGCAAAAGCCAGUUUCCCUAGACUUUCUCUUAUUUAGUAAAAAAAGAAAUACUUAUCCCCAUCUAGGCUUAGCCUCAAAGCUGGAAUUGAGAAGGAGAAUAUGACACAGAGAAAGCCUGUCCCUUCUGGUGAGAUGUUUGAGGGGAUAAGAGGAGUCAGACAGAGUGAGAGACUGAGGAAGAAAAAGAAGCCCUUUGGACAUGUAGGUCCUGGAUAUUCUGUCUCAUGAAGAUGAGGAACAGCAUUAGAGGACGCUGUGCAGAUCUGAGAUUGCAAGGCAAAGAAGAAUACAAUGACUACUAGUACUAUUUGGUGCCUCUGCCUUGAUUCAUACUACAGUGUCACCAGUUUUACCCAGCAUUGAUUUGCAUUAUCAGUACAAAAUGUCAAUGGUGACAAAAAUAUAUACUGUCUUAGUAUUAUUAUGAAAAUAGUUUCAGAGGAUCUCACAAUCUUCUGAAAGAGUCUUGGGACCCCCAACUCCUGCACUUUGAGAACCACUGCUCCAAAGCAUGGGUGGAAAAAUUCUACAUGAGAAAGAACAUCAGAUCAAAACUCUUACUAAUCUCUCUGCUAAAGAUGGUGGGUUUGGCUGCUGUCCUAGGAAAAGAUAAUAUAGAUGAAGUCACCAGGAAAUGGAAAGAAUUAGAUCAGGAAUUGGAUACCACCUAAAUGACCAGUCAAUAUGAGCUUUGAGGAAACCGAUAACAUCAAGCUAAAUGCUUCCUUAUAAACUCUUGAAGCAGAAAGUUGAAUAUAUACUCAACUAGCUAGAGAAGAUAAAACAGUCACUAGCAAAUUAUAUCAAAACUCUCAAACAAAAUAAAUGCAUUGUUGAUCAGAAAAUGAAAAUAUUAAAAUGAGAUUCAAAAGCUUUAGCAUGAACUUGAAGACUGAGCUUUCUUAUCAAGACAAUGAUAAGAAAACUCACAGAAAAUUAUUCUGUAGAGGGAGAGAAUGAUUUGCGAUUGAGAAGAAAAGUUCCACAGCAAAUAAAAAUGUGAGCCAUGCCCUGAAGAUCUGGAGGCCAAAAAAUAAAAACAAAAAUUAAAAGUAAGCCAAAGCUUUAGGAUAUGAAAUGAAAGGACUUACUUGCCCUUUGAAAAACCAAACCAUUGCUCUCGAUAACAGCUCUUGAAUUGCCGAUGAUAAUUUAGGCUGGACAAAAACCCUCUACAACUUAGGAGAAAAGAAUGCACACGGAAGACCAAAAGCAGCUGAAGACGUUAAACUUGAGAUUUUUAGAAAAGGGUCCUGAAGGCCUUGCUGAUCCACAUGCAGUGUUUGGCGGAGGCCCACAGGAACCACGCAAUUUGCUGGAAAAUCAGAUCCUCAAGACAGGAGGUAUGUCCAGCUGGGAUGGUUUGGGGAUUCGAGCUUCAAUACUGCCUUGCAUUGCCAGAUGCUAUCUCAUGGGAUCUAGACCCUAGCAUGAUAUAGUUCCCACCAGGCCAACGAUAUCCUGCUCUUUGUCCACAUGUACAAGACAAAGUUUAUCUUUCUGCUUCAGACACUGGUGAUCUUUCUACAUGAACAAGAUUCACAAGUUUGAAUGGGACUGCUUUUGAAGAGCAAUUGGUCCACACUUAAAAAAAAAUGGAGUCUGGUGGGAUGCAUUGUGAAGAUGCUUUUGGUUGUUUAGGUCCUCCUGAUCCAUCUCUACUACCUCAACCACAUCAUCCAGUUGAGUUUCCAUGUUAGGAAUGGAUCCAUUGGGAUACAAGGGGAGGGACCUCUUGUAUCUCCCUUUCCUCCAAGAAAUCCCUAUGAAGUCCUGAGAUUACUUUCCAUAGGGGAUUUUCCUGGUCCUUUCAGCCUGCAUUGGCACUGAGGGACAUCUGUCCAUCACGGGAGUUUCCCUGUGACUCUUGCACAAGAGCUGGAUUUUACUCCCAUUACCAAGAAAUGAAUUCCCUAGGGCUGAGCCAGCCUUCAAGAGAGCCUCCUUCUGAAGGUCUGAACCAGAACAAUAAUGUCUCUGUCAUUCUUCUAAAUGCAUUUUGAAUUCUUUUUUAGUUUAACAGCUGUUGUUUAAGUGAUUGUACAUUUGUUCACAUUGAAGCUUGAUAGAAUUAUAAUUCUUGGGGUAAUAUUUUAUAAGUGAAGUUGAUUUACAAACUAGAUUCUUUUAAAUGAAUCAUUUCCAUAUUAUUGUACUCUCUAGGUAGUAGAUUUGUAUUUUGAUUUGAUUAACCAGUUCUCCAUAACAUAAGCUAUAAGAGACAUUUUGCAUAAGUAACUAUACACAUUUAAAACUUUACAAGUCAUUUGUCUCUGUUAUGAACUGUUUUCUACUGUAAUAUUGAGGAAAUUGAGAAAGGUGUUCAAAGUUUAGUGAAAUAAAUUUUUAUUGGUUAAAAAUAGUAAAUGAGUAAAGCGGUGUCACAGAAUGCCUUUCUGCAUCAGAGCUGCAGUGGGGACAAAAGAGUAAGUACCCAUGCAUCUGAAGAGAGGGGCCAGGUUAUUCAUGUGGUCCUUGCUAAAUGGAGCUUUCAACCAGCCAGUUCCACCUCCCAUCCCAAAGCCCAUCACUCUGUUCUGUAUGCCUGUAUUCUAUGUAUAUGGGGUGAGGGAUAGAUAGAUGGGGAGAGGGAUAGGAGGGAUGGGGUAUAUAAAUCUCUUUGGGGAGAGAUGAAGGAGUGCGGUGUUCCCCUCUCCUCACUUAAGCCAGGUGAAAAAGUUCUCAAUAGAACUUCUGGGAGGUGUGCCCUGUGUUGGAGGACACAGAGGCUAGUUUCUGGUACACAUCUAGAAAUAUUAAAUGUGAGGGGCUGGUUAUACCUUCCCCAGGUCAGAGAGUUGGGAGUGCAGCAGCAGCAGGAAUAAGAAGUACUUUUAGCUGUAAUGGGACAAGUGUGGUCCUUGGAAGAUAGUUGGGGCUAUGUUGAAUUUAAAGCACUCUGCCCCAAAGUUCUGCCUGUGCCAGUGAGGUAAAUCACAAGCCAAGAGCCUAUCUUUCACUGGAACAAUGUAGAGGGAGGCCCCUAAGUGGGGAGUUCCCCAAAAAAUGGACUAAAGAGAAAGGGCUAGCAUUUAGGUAUCUGACCCUUACAGGGAGCUCUGACCCCAGAUUAAUAUCAGUGAAAUGACUUUUUAAUCUAUCUCUCUUCUCUUCUGCUGGCCCCCAUUCUCAGCAGAGAAGUGAGAAAGGAAGUAAAACAAAAAUAGGAAAAGCUGUCUUUCUGCUCCCUUCUUCUACUGCCUCCCAAUCAGGUUUCUAAGCUCAGAUCAAACCAAGCAUUUUAAAUGAAAUUAGGUUGAAAUUUUGACUUAGAUUUCAUUAAACAUUUGAAUACCCCAGAAUGAGAGUGUUAUUUAUGUUUAAUACUUUAAAUUGACUGAAAAAGCUACAAGAUCUGCUUCAAAUAUCAUCCAGCUGAGAGACAGAAAUGUUAAGAAAAAAAAAGAUAUCUCAAUAUUUUACCCCCACUUGGUUUGGAUUGGUAAAUAUAUUCAUUAUGGUAGCAAUAAAUACCUUUGUAUACAGACCUUUAUUAUUCAUUGGGGUAAUUUUCUUAUGAUAAAUGCCCAGAUGUGAAAAAAAUUGAUCAAAAUUUAUGAACAUCGUGAUGGCUUCAGAUAAGAAGUGCUAAACUGACAACCCACGUUUACCAAUAUAAACUGCCACUGGCAACACAAAGAAAUUAAUUUCAUACCAAAUCUCACUGUACCAUUGUCACCCUUAUAAUAAGAUAUCCCAAGUCAAGGUCACAACAAUACAGUAUAGAAAGUAGAACAGGGGUCAGAACUGCUAGUCUUCUCUUUGUACCGCUGGCUAUAUGAUUAUAUAUUUAGAAAAAACCUACAAAAAUUCAUAUGGAUUUUGUCUUGCAAAAACCAAAAUGCGAUUAUACAGUACAUAUUUGUAUUCACUUUGUUGUGAGUGUCUUCCCAUGUCGGUACACAAAGAACUGCUUUCUUUUGCUAAUAGAUGUCCCUUUUCUUAAAAAAUAAAAACAUUAAGUUAAAAAUUUAGGCUGGACGUGGGGGCUCAUGCCUGUAAUCCCAACACAUGGGGAGGCCCAGGUGGGCAAAUUGCUCAGAAGUUCAUGACCAGCCUCGGCAGCAUGGCAAAACCUGUCUCUACCAAAAUAUAUAAAAUAUUAGCCAGUGUGGUGGCAUGUGCUUGUAGUCCCAGCUACUUGGGAGGCUGAGGUGGGAGGAUCACUUGAGCCUGGGAGGUGGAGGCUGCAGGGAGCUGAGAUCAUGCCACUGAACUCCAGCCUAGGUGACAGAGCGAGACCCUGACACACACACACACACACACACACACACACUCUCUCUCAGGGAAAAAGUCACAUUAAAUGUGUCAUAUUAAUUAAUUGCUUGGCGUUACAAGCACUGUAGUCUUUCUUCCUUCCCCUCUUUCCCUUCUCUCUUUAUGGUUGUAUCCUGUAUUGUACACUACUUUCAGAAUAUGCGUUGUGUUGUUUAGCACCCACUCAUUUAAUAUAUAGGUGCUGCACAUACAGGCAUGAAGGAAACAAACAUGGCACCUGCUCUUUGGAGUUUCCACCCUCAUGGAUCUCUCUUUGACUUUCUGCUUUGCCUUCUAAGCUUAAUACUUAAAUUCCAAAUGCUUAUCAUAUCCUGUGUCAUUUGCUAAAAGUUGGCAAUAAUUAAGAGUGAUCUUUCUAGUAGCAACACAAAGUGGGAAAUUUGACCAGAUACAUAAGUUACAGUUGCUAAGGAAAUGAACAGUUAUUCACAGUUCUGGGGAUGGAGAGAAUUUUCCCUGUGGGUUUUCAUUAAGAAGAUACCUUGGCCAGGCACAAUGGCUCAUGCCUGUAAUCCCAGCACUUUGGGAGGCCGAGGCAGGCGGAUCACCUGAAGUCAGGAGUUUGAGACCAACCUGGCCAACAUGGUGAAACCCUAUCUCUAAUAAAAAUAAAAAAUAAAAAAUUAGCCAGGCAUAGUUGCAUGUGCCUGUAAUCCCAGCUACUCGGGAGGCUGAGAUAUGAGAAUUGCUUGAACCCAGGGGGCGAAGGUUGCAGUGAGCCUAGGUUGUGCCACUGCACUCUGGCCUGGGCAACAGAGUGAGACCCCAUCUCAAAAAAUAAGAAAAAAAAAAAAAGAUAACUUAUGAUGUAGAGCAGUAUGUUCUCAACAUUAUCUCAACAGUCAGCACAAACUGAAUUUCACAACACUGUUUUCUGGGAUGUGCUUCAAUACAGCCCAGUGACGUAAUGCCAAAUAUAAUUCAGAAAAAUGAAUUCUCCCAGGAUUACAAAGCUUAAUGACUAGGUAUACAACUUUCUGACUUAACCCAAUGAUAUAAUUUAGAGGGUCUGGAGUCCAGACCCCAGACACUAGAGAAUAUGUGGAAUACAUAUGUUUUAUGAAAUAAUUCAUCGAUAAUACCUCAUGCAACGUAAGUUUCUAUGAAUAUAAGUUAGCAAGGAGUUUGAGAAUAUACUUCACCAGUCCAGAUAUUUCAUGCCACUAGUUAUAGCAUAUUUGGACGCUUUAAUGGGUUCUAUAACAUAUCAAACCUGAUGCUAGAAACUUGAUGUAGACAGCUGACUCCAAAAUAUCCCUACCCUACAAUGCUCACCAUCUCAAAAGAAACCAAGACUUGUACACAAAUAGCUGUAAGAAAAAGUAUUAAAUGUCAAAGUUCAUAAAAGGAGUUUAGAUAAAGUGCAAUUCAUUCAUUCAACAAACAUUUGUUGAGUACCUAGGAUUUGCCAAGUACUGUGCUAAAUUUUGAUGAUACAUCAUGCCUAAUAAAAAGUGUGUUACCAACAAAAUUUUAAAAAAAUAAAAAGGCGCCAUUUCACAUGCCUGUAAUCCCAGCUAACUGGGAGGCUGAGGCAGGAGAAUCGCUUGAACCUGGGAGGCAGAGGUUGCCAUAAGCCGAGAUGGAGCCAUUGCACUCCAGCCUGGGAAACAAGAGUGAGACUCUGUCAAAAAAAAAAAAAAAAAAAAAAAAAAAAAAAAAAAAAGAAAGAAAUGAAAAAGAUUACAUUUAUAAGGGCAACAAAAAGUAUUAAAUAUCUUUACAAGCAUUUCAGAGAUAAAUUUAAAAAGACCUAAAUAAGUGGAAGGAUAUACUACAUUCAUGGAUUGGAAGACUCAAUAUUGUUAAGGUGUCAAUUCUUACCAAAUUAAUCUGUAGGUUUAAUGCAAUUACAAUCAAAAUUACCUUAGAAAUGUUUUUGUGGCAAUUGAUAAGCUGAUUAUAAAAUGUGUAUGGAAAUGCAAGAGACCUAGAAGAGCUGCAGUAGGGAGAAAUGAUCCCUCCAAAAUGGUCACAUCUUAAUUUAUGGAACCUGUGAAUAGUUAUGAUCCAUAGCAAAAGGACUUUGCAGGUGUAAUUAAGGUUAUGGAGUUUAAAAUAUGAAGAUUAUCCUGAAUUACCUGAAUAGUCCCAAUCUAAUCAUGUGAGCCCUAAAAAGCAGAGCACUUUCUUAGACUGAAUACAGAAGAGAUGCAGCAAGGAAGCCAGAGAAGUUUGAAGUAUGUGAAGGACUCAUCUUCAAACCAUUGCUGGUGGUUUGAAGAUAGAGAGGGCAGCAUGACAAGGACUGCAGGUGGGCUUAUAGCUGUUAGAGGCUCCCAGAUAACAGCCAGUAAGUAAGUGGAGAACUCAGUCUUACAGCUGCAAAGAACUGAAUUCAUUCAAAAACCUGAAUGAACUUGAAAGGAGAUUAUCCCUAAGGGACUACAAAUAAAUACCCAGACUGUCUGAUAUUAUAGUUUUGGCCUCGUGAGACCCAAAGCAGAGGAACUAGUUGAGCCCAUCUAGACCUCUGAUUAACAGAACUGUGAGACAAUAAAUUUGUGUUGUUUUAAGCUGUUAAGUUUGUGGUACAUGGUUACAGGAUCAGUAGAAAACUAAUACCAUAUCGAAGGCAAUCUUAAGAACAAAACUGCAGGACUUAACGUUCUUUGUUUCUAAGAAUUGUUCUCUCCACCACAUAGCUCUAAAUGAAAGAAUGGCUUUUGAGGCCAUGUUCGUCUUAUAUGACUCUUCCUCUCUGGCUACAACUGGUUGGAUGGACUGGGAUGAACUUGAUUGUCUGGGGAAUUUGAACUAAGCCCCGCAGAGACAGGGUCUGUUACUCCAAUGUAUCUCACCCCCUAAAUAAGUGGAGUAAGUAUUCAUGUGCUUGUGUAGUCUUCUUCCUUUGAAUCUGGGUUUUAACUAAAAGAAUGAAGCAGAAGUGUCACUGUGUCAGUUUUACUAAUGUGACCAUGUGUUUAUGUUUACAGUUAGGAAGGACAUUAAAAUGUAAAAUGGGGC
Molecule: long non-coding RNA, 7412 nt
Filed under: Homo sapiens (human)
Lineage: Eukaryota; Metazoa; Chordata; Mammalia; Primates; Hominidae
Description: HSALNT0052619
Source: RNAcentral